CAAUAGCGUAUAUUAAAGUUGUUGCAGUUAAAAGCUCGUAGUUGGAUUUCAGAGUGAGCUCAGACGGUCGGCCUAAUGGGUCAGAACUGGUUGACUCUCUCUUGCUUGUGGAUCCCGCCCGGAGUUAACUCUUCGGAUGUGGACUCCACAUCGUUUACCUUGAAAAAUUAGAGUGUUCAAAGCAGGCGUUUGCUUGAAUAUAUUAGCAUGGAAUAAUGGAAUAGGACUCUGUUCCUAUUUUGUUGGUUUUAAGGACCAGAGUAAUGAUUAAUAGGGAUAGUUGGGGCAGUUCAUAUUUCAUUGUCAGAGGUGAAAUUCUUGGAUUUAUGAAAGAUGAACUUCUGCGAAAGCAUUUGCCAAGGAUGUUUUCAUUAAUCAAGAACGAAAGUUAGGGGAUCGAAGAUGAUUAGAU
Molecule: ribosomal RNA, 412 nt
Filed under: uncultured eukaryote
Lineage: Eukaryota
Description: SSU rRNA
Rfam family: Eukaryotic small subunit ribosomal RNA
Source: RNAcentral